RNAcentral lists this ribosomal RNA (825 nucleotides) under Alteromonas macleodii. Its description in RNAcentral is "bacterial SSU rRNA". It matches the Rfam family "Bacterial small subunit ribosomal RNA", at positions 69 to 888 of the family's 1533-position model. Lineage: Bacteria; Pseudomonadati; Pseudomonadota; Gammaproteobacteria; Alteromonadales; Alteromonadaceae. The record is from RNAcentral.
GUAACAUUAUCUAGCUUGCUAGAAGAUGACGAGUGGCGGACGGGUGAGUAAUGCUUGGGAACUUGCCUUUGCGAGGGGGAUAACAGUUGGAAACGACUGCUAAUACCGCAUAAUGUCUUCGGACCAAACGGGGCUUUUAGCUCCGGCGCAAAGAGAGGCCCAAGUGAGAUUAGCUAGUUGGUAAGGUAACGGCUUACCAAGGCGACAAUCUCUAGCUGUUCUGAGAGGAAAAUCAGCCACACUGGGACUGAAACACGGCCCAAACUCCUACGGGAGGCAGCAGUGGGGAAUAUUGCACAAUGGGGGAAACCCUGAUGCAGCCAUGCCGCGUGUGUGAAGAAGGCCUUCGGGUUGUAAAGCACUUUCAGUUGUGAGGAAAAGUUAGUAGUUAAUACCUGCUAGCCGUGACGUUAACAACAGAAGAAGCACCGGCUAACUCCGUGCCAGCAGCCGCGGUAAUACGGAGGGUGCGAGCGUUAAUCGGAAUUACUGGGCGUAAAGCGCACGCAGGCGGUUUGUUAAGCUAGAUGUGAAAGCCCCGGGCUCAACCUGGGAUGGUCAUUUAGAACUGGCAGACUAGAGUCUUGGAGAGGGGAGUGGAAUUCCAGGUGUAGCGGUGAAAUGCGUAGAUAUCUGGAGGAGCAUCAGUGGCGAAGGCGACUCCCUGGCCAAAGACUGACGCUCAUGUGCGAAAGUGUGGGUAGCGAACAGGAUUAGAUACCCUGGUAGUCCACACCGUAAACGCUGUCUACUAGCUGUGUGUGCCUUUAAGCGUGCGUAGCGGAGGCUAACGCGCUAAGUAGACCGCCUGGGGGAGUACGGCCG